CCCUUCACCUUAAACAGCUGUGCCUUGCUCGAUCUUCGCCGAGCGUAGUUUCGUUAAAUUCGGCGCCCUGCCUUCUCCUCCGUUUUAUGCAUGGCUACUGCCGAUGGAGAAGCUCCUAGGCCGGAGGAGCGCCAGAUAGAGCCGCUGCAUCUACCGACGCCCGAGGAGAUCCGAGGACAGGACAUAUGGAACAACUGCGCCGUCCGGAGCGUCGCCAGUGGCGUCAUGGGUGGUGGACUUGGUUUUUUCAUGGGCAUGUUUCUUGGGGCUCUGGAUAACCCUAUAAUGCAGGAGGAGAUGACUACCAAGCAGCAAUUAAUAUUUCAAGCAAAACAAAUGGGUCGCAGAAGUAUUAGCUCUGCAAAGGCAUUUGGUAUCAUGGGCCUCAUCUUUUCAGCUGCUGAAUGUGUUGUUGAGAAGACUCGAGCGAAACAUGACACCACAAACACAGUUGUUGCUGGUUGCGUUACAGGAGGGGCUAUUUCUGCAAAAGGUGGUCCAAAGGCUGCGUGUGUUGGGUGUGCUGGCUUUGCAGCAUUCUCAGUCGCAAUUGAGAAGUUCCUUGAUAGGCAUUCGUAAGCAUGUGAUAGAAAUCGAUAGGUGAAUUCAAAUUGUUUUUGGUUGAAGUAUCUUCCAUAGCCUCUUCAUGAACCAGCACAGUCCAGAUUUUUUUGGUAUAUGUUUCUAUCUUCCAAUCUAUCAAGCCAGGCAACAGAGAUGGCGCCAAGUAGAGCUAUUUAUCCAAAAUUCUCCUUUCAUAUUUGAUUUAGUGGUCAGACCUGCAGGAAGCUCGGCAGUGGAGUUCUCCACACCGAACAUUGAGUUUGAUGUGGCUUCCAGCUUUUGUUGCCUAUUCAAAGAAUCUUCAACAGUGGCAACAUCACCCUCGAGGUAGCAUUCAGAACUUUUCUCAAUAGAAGUUUCUUCAACAGUGGCAGUAUCAUCCUUGAUAUAGCAAUCAGAACUUUUCUCAAUAGAUGGCCUCAGUUGUCGUAGAUAACAUAUCUCCUCGUCUUUUGUUGCAAUCUCAUCUUUCAAUUCCCCUAUCAGAGCCAUUGUCUCUUGAAUAUAGUCUUCAUUGCUUUUCUCUACUUCAGAGAGCCUUCUUUUUGUCUCAUUGCAGUUUUGCAAGAUAGAUGUGAAUUCAGCCAGUAAUAUAUGUUCUUUACCUUCUACACCAUUCUUAAUUAAUUGCUUCAAUUUAUGAGUAUCCUCUCCGUCGUCAAGUAUGAUUCCGGUAUCAUCAAUUCUUUCUGAAGAAAUUUCACUUUGGGAAUUUGCUUGCGUCUCAGAAGGACAAGGUAUUUCAGCCACUGCAUUAUCCUCACCCUUUUUCGUCUGCUCAGUGUCAACAAAAGCGUCAUCUUCCUCUGAGGAUGAAUCCCCGCUAUGAAACUGAAGCACCUUCAAAAUACCAUUAAGGCU
RNA transcript from Zingiber officinale, 1425 nucleotides. It is a transcript of the gene named mitochondrial import inner membrane translocase subunit TIM22-4-like, with no coding region annotated. The transcript is spliced from 5 exons. The record is from RefSeq and is a predicted model, not a curated record. NCBI's taxonomy places the organism in Eukaryota, Viridiplantae, Streptophyta, Magnoliopsida, Zingiberales, Zingiberaceae.